GAUGAACGCUGGCGGCGUGCCUAAUACAUGCAAGUCGAGCGAACAGACGAGGAGCUUGCUCCUCUGACGUUAGCGGCGGACGGGUGAGUAACACGUGGAUAACCUACCUAUAAGACUGGGAUAACUUCGGGAAACCGGAGCUAAUACCGGAUAAUAUAUUGAACCGCAUGGUUCAAUAGUGAAAGACGGUUUUGCUGUCACUUAUAGAUGGAUCCGCGCCGCAUUAGCUAGUUGGUAAGGUAACGGCUUACCAAGGCAACGAUGCGUAGCCGACCUGAGAGGGUGAUCGGCCACACUGGAACUGAGACACGGUCCAGACUCCUACGGGAGGCAGCAGUAGGGAAUCUUCCGCAAUGGGCUAAAGCCUGACGGAGCAACGCCGCGUGAGUGAUGAAGGUCUUCGGAUCGUAAAACUCUGUUAUUAGGGAAGAACAAAUGUGUAAGUACCUAUGCACGUCUUGACGGUACCUAAUCAGAAAGCCACGGCUAACUACGUG
This 497-nucleotide ribosomal RNA is filed under the name uncultured bacterium. RNAcentral describes it as "partial 16S ribosomal RNA". It matches the Rfam family "Bacterial small subunit ribosomal RNA", at positions 28 to 507 of the family's 1533-position model. The record is from RNAcentral.